AGUGAACGCUGGCGGUAGGCCUAACACAUGCAAGUCGAACGGCAGCACAGUAAGAGCUUGCUCUUACGGGUGGCGAGUGGCGGACGGGUGAGGAAUACAUCGGAAUCUACUUUUUCGUGGGGGAUAACGUAGGGAAACUUACGCUAAUACCGUAUACGACCUACGGGUGAAAUCAGGGGAUCUUCGGACCUUGCGCGAUUGAAUGAGCCGAUGUCGGAUUAGAUAGUUGGCGGGGUAAAGGCCCACCAAGGCGACGAUCCGUAGCUGGUCUGAGAGGAUGAUAAGCAACACGGGAAGUGAGAAAGGGACCAGACAACUACGGGAGGCAGCAGUGGGGAAUAGUGGACAAUGGGCGCAAGCAUGAUCCAGCAAUACCGAGUGGGUGAAGAAGGACUUCGGGUUGGAAAGACCUUUUGUUGGGAAAGAAAAGAAGCAGGUUAAUACCCCGCUGUAAUGACGGUAACAAAAGAAUAAGCACCGGCUAACUUCGUG
This 492-nucleotide ribosomal RNA is filed under the name uncultured bacterium. RNAcentral's name for it is "partial 16S ribosomal RNA". It matches the Rfam family "Bacterial small subunit ribosomal RNA", at positions 29 to 507 of the family's 1533-position model. The record is from RNAcentral.